UGGGGAAUUGUUCGCAAUGGGCGCAAGCCUGACGACGCAACGCCGCGUGGAGGAUGAAGAUCUUCGGAUCGUAAACUCCUGUCGAGCGGGACGAACGGCUCGGGACCUAACACGUCCCGGGAGUGACGGUACCGCUAAAGGAAGCCCCGGCUAACUCCGUGCCAGCAGCCGCGGUAAUACGGGGGGGGCCAGCGUUGUUCGGAAUUACUGGGCGUAAAGGGCGCGUAGGCGGCCUUCUCAGUCAGACGUGAAAUCCCUCGGCUCAACCGGGGAACUGCGUCUGAUACUGGAGGGCUCGAAUCCGGGAGAGGGAUGCGGAAUUCCAGGUGUAGCGGUGAAAUGCGUAGAUAUCUGGAGGAACACCGGUGGCGAAGGCGGCAUCCUGGACCGGCAUUGACGCUGAGGCGCGAAAGCCAGGGGAGCAAACGGGAUUAGAUACCCCGGUAGUCCUGGCCCUAAACGAUGAAUGCUUGGUGUGGUGGGUAUCGAUCCCUGCCGUGCCGGAGCUAACGCGUUAAGCAUUCCGCCUGGGGAGUACGGUCCGGCAAGGCUG
This 553-nucleotide ribosomal RNA is filed under the name uncultured bacterium. RNAcentral's name for it is "bacterial SSU rRNA". It matches the Rfam family "Bacterial small subunit ribosomal RNA", at positions 355 to 896 of the family's 1533-position model. The record is from RNAcentral.